AGGCGGAGACUUGGGCAAUUGCUGGACGCUGCCCGCGCAUUGCACUUGUCUCGGUCUGA
Molecule: microRNA precursor, 59 nt
Organism: Ailuropoda melanoleuca (giant panda)
Lineage: Eukaryota; Metazoa; Chordata; Mammalia; Carnivora; Ursidae
Product: microRNA 25
Source: Ensembl